This is a long non-coding RNA of Artibeus jamaicensis (Jamaican fruit-eating bat), 523 nucleotides long. RefSeq lists it as uncharacterized. The record is from RefSeq and is a predicted model, not a curated record. NCBI's taxonomy places the organism in Eukaryota, Metazoa, Chordata, Mammalia, Chiroptera, Phyllostomidae. The transcript is spliced from 3 exons.
GACAGAGAUGCCACAGAGGUACCGAGACGGCAGGAGCCUCGAUUAGCCCAUUUGCUGCCGUGCGGCCCACCAGGGACUUUCUCCAGCCUGCUGUGCGUUGUUGGAACUAAAUUCAGCAACGUGAGAGCACUUGGGUGGGAUUGAAACGGAGCCUCGGCAAUACUCCCCCCUCCCGAUUCUCAGCAACAGAGGUGCAACCUGACGACUUCAGGCCGCAACACGCUCAACAGGUACUAUUUAAAAUUAGGGACGUGUAAAAACUCAGUGAAAGAACUGAUUAAACACUUCCCUCCCCUCCAAGGAGUCUGGGGAAUUUGGCUGUAAGGAUGAAAAAGAAGGUGCGGACUAACCUGACGAGCUCAGGACAGGCCUGCGUGGGGAACCUUACAACCCGAAGACCUAGACUGACGGCACGGAAUGACCUGAAAUGAGGACUUCCUCACUACAGAGGGCAGCAGAGAUAUUCUGCGACUGGAAGCCCCCUCCUCAGCAUCACCCACAGCCCAGCAGGGCCCAACCUCAC